This 460-nucleotide ribosomal RNA is filed under the name uncultured bacterium. RNAcentral describes it as "partial 16S ribosomal RNA". It matches the Rfam family "Bacterial small subunit ribosomal RNA", at positions 338 to 795 of the family's 1533-position model. The record is from RNAcentral.
CCUACGGGCGACAGCAGUGAGGAAUAUUGGUCAAUGGACGAGAGUCUGAACCAGCCCCGUAGCGUGAAGGAUGACUGCCCUAUGGGUUGUAAACUUCUUUUAUAUGGGAAUAAAAUGUUCCACGUGUGGGAUUUUGUAUGUACCAUAUUAAUAAGGAUCGGCUAACUCCGUGCCAGCAGCCGCGGUAAUACGGAGGAUCCGAGCGUUAUCCGGAUUUAUUGGGUUUAAAGGGAGCGUAGGUGGAUUGUUAAGUCAGUUGUGAAAGUUUGCGGCUCAACCGUAAAAUUGCAGUUGAAACUGGCAGUCUUGAGUACAGUAGAGGUGGGCGGAAUUCGUGGUGUAGCGGUGAAAUGCUUAGAUAUCACGAAGAACUCCGAUUGCGAAGGCAGUUCACUGGACUGCAACUGACACUGAGGCUCGAAAGUGUGGGUAUCAAACAGGAUUAGAUACCCUUGUAGUC